This 484-nucleotide ribosomal RNA is filed under the name uncultured bacterium. RNAcentral describes it as "partial 16S ribosomal RNA". It matches the Rfam family "Bacterial small subunit ribosomal RNA", at positions 30 to 507 of the family's 1533-position model. The record is from RNAcentral.
AUUGAACGCUGGCGGCAGGCCUAACACAUGCAAGUCGAGCGGAUGAAGGGAGCUUGCUCCUGGAUUCAGCGGCGGACGGGUGAGUAAUGCCUAGGAAUCUGCCUGGUAGUGGGGGAUAACGUCCGGAAACGGGCGCUAAUACCGCAUACGUCCUGAGGGAGAAAGUGGGGGAUCUUCGGACCUCACGCUAUCAGAUGAGCCUAGGUCGGAUUAGCUAGUUGGUGGGGUAAAGGCCUACCAAGGCGACGAUCCGUAACUGGUCUGAGAGGAUGAUCAGUCACACUGGAACUGAGACACGGUCCAGACUCCUACGGGAGGCAGCAGUGGGGAAUAUUGGACAAUGGGCGAAAGCCUGAUCCAGCCAUGCCGCGUGUGUGAAGAAGGUCUUCGGAUUGUAAAGCACUUUAAGUUGGGAGGAAGGGCAGUAAGCUAAUACCUUGCUAUUUUGACGUUACCAACAGAAUAAGCACCGGCUAACUUCGUG